This 1574-nucleotide ribosomal RNA is filed under the name Salmonella enterica subsp. enterica serovar Bovismorbificans. Its description in RNAcentral is "bacterial LSU rRNA". It matches the Rfam family "Bacterial large subunit ribosomal RNA", at positions 1253 to 2812 of the family's 2925-position model. Lineage: Bacteria; Pseudomonadati; Pseudomonadota; Gammaproteobacteria; Enterobacterales; Enterobacteriaceae. The record is from RNAcentral.
AAGGUGGCCUGUGAGGGUUGCUGGAGGUAUCAGAAGUGCGAAUGCUGACAUAAGUAACGAUAAAGCGGGUGAAAAGCCCGCUCGCCGGAAGACCAAGGGUUCCUGUCCAACGUUAAUCGGGGCAGGGUGAGUCGACCCCUAAGGCGAGGCCGAAAGGCGUAGUCGAUGGGAAACGGGUUAAUAUUCCCGUACUUGGUGUUACUGCGAAGGGGGGACGGAGAAGGCUAUGUUGGCCGGGCGACGGUUGUCCCGGUUUAAGCGUGUAGGCUGGUUUUCCAGGCAAAUCCGGAAAAUCAAGGCUGAGGCGUGACGACGAGGCACUACGGUGCUGAAGCAACAAAUGCCCUGCUUCCAGGAAAAGCCUCUAAGCAUCAGGUAACAUCAAAUCGUACCCCAAACCGACACAGGUGGUCAGGUAGAGAAUACCAAGGCGCUUGAGAGAACUCGGGUGAAGGAACUAGGCAAAAUGGUGCCGUAACUUCGGGAGAAGGCACGCUGACAUGUAGGUGAAGUGAUUUACUCAUGGAGCUGAAGUCAGUCGAAGAUACCAGCUGGCUGCAACUGUUUAUUAAAAACACAGCACUGUGCAAACACGAAAGUGGACGUAUACGGUGUGACGCCUGCCCGGUGCCGGAAGGUUAAUUGAUGGGGUCAGCGCAAGCGAAGCUCCUGAUCGAAGCCCCGGUAAACGGCGGCCGUAACUAUAACGGUCCUAAGGUAGCGAAAUUCCUUGUCGGGUAAGUUCCGACCUGCACGAAUGGCGUAAUGAUGGCCAGGCUGUCUCCACCCGAGACUCAGUGAAAUUGAACUCGCUGUGAAGAUGCAGUGUACCCGCGGCAAGACGGAAAGACCCCGUGAACCUUUACUAUAGCUUGACACUGAACAUUGAGCCUUGAUGUGUAGGAUAGGUGGGAGGCUUUGAAGUGUGGACGCCAGUCUGCAUGGAGCCGACCUUGAAAUACCACCCUUUAAUGUUUGAUGUUCUAACGUGGACCCGUUACCCGGGUUGCGGACAGUGUCUGGUGGGUAGUUUGACUGGGGCGGUCUCCUCCUAAAGAGUAACGGAGGAGCACGAAGGUUGGCUAAUCCUGGUCGGACAUCAGGAGGUUAGUGCAAUGGCAUAAGCCAGCUUGACUGCGAGCGUGACGGCGCGAGCAGGUGCGAAAGCAGGUCAUAGUGAUCCGGUGGUUCUGAAUGGAAGGGCCAUCGCUCAACGGAUAAAAGGUACUCCGGGGAUAACAGGCUGAUACCGCCCAAGAGUUCAUAUCGACGGCGGUGUUUGGCACCUCGAUGUCGGCUCAUCACAUCCUGGGGCUGAAGUAGGUCCCAAGGGUAUGGCUGUUCGCCAUUUAAAGUGGUACGCGAGCUGGGUUUAGAACGUCGUGAGACAGUUCGGUCCCUAUCUGCCGUGGGCGCUGGAGAACUGAGGGGGGCUGCUCCUAGUACGAGAGGACCGGAGUGGACGCAUCACUGGUGUUCGGGUUGUCAUGCCAAUGGCACUGCCCGGUAGCUAAAUGCGGAAGAGAUAAGUGCUGAAAGCAUCUAAGCACGAAACUUGCCCCGAGAUGAGUUCU